Molecule: long non-coding RNA, 1344 nt
Filed under: Cairina moschata (Muscovy duck)
Lineage: Eukaryota; Metazoa; Chordata; Aves; Anseriformes; Anatidae
Description: domestica (muscovy Duck (domestic type)) lncRNA (ENSCMMG00000015456.1)
Source: RNAcentral
AUGCGCCUUUUUUGGGGGCGAAACAGCUGUUUUGGGGCAAAAGGCGGCUGGUUUGGGCAAAAGGUGUUGUUUUGGGGCGAAAAGCAGCCAUUUGGGGACAAAAUGCGCCUUUUUGGGGGCGAAAGGCACCCGCUUUGGGGCGAAAGGUGCCUUUUUUGGGGCAAAACACGCCUGUUUUGGGGUAAAAGGCGUCUGCGUCCGUUGAAAGAUGCCCCUUUUGAGGCAGAAGGCGCCCGUGUUGGGGCGAAAGGUGCUUGUUUUGGGGCAAAAGACGCGUGUUUCGGGAGAAGUCGCUCGUUUUGGGGUGAAAGGUGCCUGUUCUGGUGCAAAAGGUGCCCGUUUUGGGGCAGAAGGUGUUUGUUUUGGUGCAAAACACGCAAGUUUUGGGGCAGAACGCGCCCGUUUUGGGGAAAACGCACGUGUUUCGGAGCAGAAAGGGCCCCUUUUGGGGCAAAAUUUGCUUGUUUUGGGGCUGGAAGCGGCUGUUUCGGGUCAAAACACGCCUGUUUCGGGGCAGAAGGCGCCUGUUUUGGGGCAAAAUCCGCCUGUUUCGGGGCAGGAGGCGUCCUUUUGAGUUCGCAUGCACCUGCUUGGGGGCCAAACGCACCCGUUUGGGGCAGGAGGCUCCUGCUUUGGGUCAAAAUGCUGCAGUUUUGGGGCAGAAGGCGCCCGUUUCGGGUCAAAACGCGCUUGUUUUGGGGCAGAAAGCGUCUGUUUUGGGGCAAAACCUGCGUGUUUGGGUCUGAAGGCUCCUGUUUGAGGGCAGAAGGGGUUGGUUUUGGGUCCAAAUGUGCCUGUUUCGGGUCCGAGCGUUCCCGUUUAGGGUCAGAAGUCUCCUGUUUCAGGGCAAAAGCCGCCUCUUUUGGGUCCAAAGGCUCCCGUUCUGGGUUAGAGCACGCCCGGUUAGGGGCAGAAACCACCUGUUUCGGGUCUGAAAGCUCCCGUUUGGGGUCAAAACGCGCUUCUUUUGGGGCAGAAAGCGUCUGUUUCGGGGCAGAACGUGCGUGUUUGGGGGGGAAAGGCGCCGAUUUGGGAUCAGAAGGUGUUGGUUUGGGGUCCGAAGGCUCCCGUUUCGGGUCCAAACACUCUGGUUUUGGGUCUGAAUGUUCCCGUUUUGGGUCUGAAUGUUACAGUUUCGGUUCUGAACCCUCCCGCUUUGGGUCCGAACAGUCCCGUUCUGGGUCUGAAUACUCUUGUUUUGGGUCCGAACCCUCCUGUUUUGGGUCCGAACCCUCCUGUUUUGGGUCUGAACCCUCCCGUUUCGGGUCUAAACAGUCUUGUUUCGGGUCCAACCCCUCCCAUUCCAUUUCCAACCCCUCCCAUUCCCCCCCACGCCCCCUAUAA